RNAcentral lists this ribosomal RNA (275 nucleotides) under uncultured prokaryote. Its description in RNAcentral is "partial 16S ribosomal RNA". It matches the Rfam family "Bacterial small subunit ribosomal RNA", at positions 524 to 798 of the family's 1533-position model. The record is from RNAcentral.
UACGGAGGAUCCGAGCGUUAUCCGGAUUUAUUGGGUUUAAAGGGUGCGCAGGCGGGGGAUUAAGUCGGCGGUGAAAUUUUGCGGCUCAACCGUAAAAGUGCCUUCGAUACUGGUGGUCUUGAGUGUGGAUGAGGUAGGCGGAAUUUGUGGUGUAGCGGUGAAAUGCAUAGAUAUCACGAGGAACUCCGAUUGCGCAGGCAGCUUACUAAACCAUAACUGACGCUCAGGCACGAAGGCGUGGGGAUCAAACAGGAUUAGAUACCCGUGUAGUCCCU